CCUACGGGCGGCAGCAGUGAGGAAUAUUGGUCAAUGGCCGGAAGGCUGAACCAGCCAAGCCGCGUGAAGGACGAAGGUGCCAAGCAUUGUAAACUUCUUUUGUCAAGGGACAAAAUCAGGCUCGAGAGCCUGACCGAGGGUACUUGAAGAAAAAGCAUCGGCUAACUCCGUGCCAGCAGCCGCGGUAAUACGGAGGAUGCGAGCGUUAUCCGGAAUCAUUGGGCGUAAAGCGUUCGUAGGCGGUAUGUCAAGUCUGAUGUUAAAGCCCGGGGCUCAACUCCGGUUCGGCAUUGGAUACUGGCAAACUAGAAUGUGGUAGAGGUAAAGGGAAUUCCUGGUGUAGCGGUGAAAUGCGUAGAUAUCAGGAGGAACAUCGGUGGCGAAAGCGCUUUACUGGACCAUUAUUGACGCUGAGGAACGAAAGCCAGGGGAGCAAAUGGGAUUAGAUACCCGGGUAGUC
This 460-nucleotide ribosomal RNA is filed under the name uncultured bacterium. RNAcentral's name for it is "partial 16S ribosomal RNA". It matches the Rfam family "Bacterial small subunit ribosomal RNA", at positions 338 to 795 of the family's 1533-position model. The record is from RNAcentral.